This 400-nucleotide ribosomal RNA is filed under the name phytoplankton environmental sample. RNAcentral describes it as "partial small subunit ribosomal RNA". It matches the Rfam family "Eukaryotic small subunit ribosomal RNA", at positions 587 to 984 of the family's 1831-position model. The record is from RNAcentral.
AGCUCCAGCAGCGUAUAUUUAUAUUGCUGCGUUUAAAAAGCUCGUAGUUGAAGCGUCAGACGCGGGAGGGCGGACGGCCGCAUUGGUCAGUCGCGCCCGACCGAGCCAGGCGCAGAAUGGCGCGCGUCGCUUGCACUUCACCGUGUGAGCGCGCCGCCGCUGCACGUUCACCUUGAAGAAAUUGAACCGCUUAGAGGGGGCGAGCAGCUUGGACAGCUCAGCAUGGUAUGAUGGAACAUGGGCUCGUACUCAUUUUGUUGGUUAGAGAGUUGGCGAGCCAAUGAUUAACAGGGACUGCCGGGGGCAUUCGUACUCGGACGGGAGAGGUGAAAUUCAAGGAUCGUCCGAAGACGCCCUACUGCGAAAGCAUUUGCCAAGAAUGUUUUCAUUAAUCAAGAAC